Molecule: ribosomal RNA, 246 nt
Filed under: uncultured bacterium
Lineage: Bacteria
Description: partial 16S ribosomal RNA
Rfam family: Bacterial small subunit ribosomal RNA
Source: RNAcentral
UCUGGCGACCGGCGCACGGGUGAGUAACACGUAUCCAACCUGCCCUUUACUCGGGGAUAGCCUUUCGAAAGAAAGAUUAAUACCCGAUAGCAUAAUGAUUCCGCAUGGUUUCAUUAUUAAAGGAUUCCGGUAAAGGAUGGGGAUGCGUUCCAUUAGGUUGUUGGUGAGGUAACGGCGCACCAAGCCUUCGAUGGAUAGGGGUUCUGAGAGGAAGGUCCCCCACAUUGGAACUGAGACACGGUCCAG